CCACAUAAUUCAAUAUGAAUUAUCAAAAGACAAUAUUCAAAAUAUAUUAUAUCAUUUUCUCCUUAAUUUUUCCCGUUGGGUUUUUAAAGGAGUUUUCAUAACAUAUCAAUAUUAUUAUUAUUUCCUCAAUAUUUUUCCCACAGGGUUUUUGGAGGAAAUUACAACAUUACAAGAUUCCAUGAUGAUUCUAAAAUAUACAAGUCAAAGAAGCAAAUUGAUCGAGGGGGAGUGUUGAGAAUAAUAUAUGAUCAAUUAGUUUAAUUAUUAGUUAAUUAAAUAGACGGUUAAUUGAAACCGCUCGUGUCCCAAGUUUUGGAAAAAUUGGGACGCUAAGACAAAAGUUUAGGACACCAAUGCAUAUAUUGGUGCCCUUUCAACCUAUAUAUAUAUAUCAUCAUCAAUCAAGGAACAGAACACAGAGAUUCAUUCUCAUUUUCAUUCAUAAAAAUUUUAACAUGUUUUUCUAUUUGUCCCACACUCCACAACACUGAUUCCCACCUUCGAUCUGCAUAUGAACAAUUUUUUGAUUGAACAGAAAAGGUUACAAGCAGUAGCAAUGCUUACAGUUUUAUAAUUAAUAUAAAUGAAUAAAGAAAAGGAAGAUAAAAGCAAAACUAAAGAAAAAACGAAAAAAAAAACUUGGAG
This 645-nucleotide long non-coding RNA is filed under the name Brachypodium distachyon (stiff brome). RNAcentral describes it as "long non-coding RNA (BDIS_LNC005705)". Lineage: Eukaryota; Viridiplantae; Streptophyta; Magnoliopsida; Poales; Poaceae. The record is from RNAcentral.